Molecule: signal recognition particle RNA, 148 nt
Filed under: Homo sapiens (human)
Lineage: Eukaryota; Metazoa; Chordata; Mammalia; Primates; Hominidae
Description: Metazoan signal recognition particle RNA
Rfam family: Metazoan signal recognition particle RNA
About the family: The signal recognition particle (SRP) is a universally conserved ribonucleoprotein. It is involved in the co-translational targeting of proteins to membranes.
Source: Rfam by way of RNAcentral
GCCAGGCAUGGUGGCCCGUGCCUGUAGUCCCAGCUACGUGGGAGGCUGAGGCAGGAGAAUGGCUUGAACCCAGGAGGCAGAGGCUGCAGUGAGCCGAGAUCACGCCACUGCACUCCAGCCUGGGUGACAGAGCCAGACUCCGUCUCAA